GCUGUGGCUGUGGCGUAGGCUGUAGCAGCCGCUUCCAUUCGGGGCCCGGGAACUUGCAUCUGGCAGAGGUGCGGCCAUUAAAAAGAAAAGAUAUUGUCAAAGAUGCAUUUAAUACACCUGACCUACUGAACCUCAGAGCUUAGCCGAGCCUACCUUAUAGGUGCUCCGUAUACUUACAUUAGCCUACAGCGGGGCAGAAUCAUCUAACACGAAGCGUAUUUUAUAAUAAAGUGGUCGAUAUUGCGUAUAAGUCAUGAAAGACGGUACUGCAAGGGAAAAACAGAAUGGCUUGAUGGUGCAGAAUGGCUGUGAGUGUUUCUGCUGUUUAGCCUCGUGAUUGCCCGGCUGACUGGGAGCUGCAGCUCACUGCCACGGCCCAGCAGGGGAUCACACGUGGGUUGUACCUCGCUAGCCUAGGAAAAGAUCAAAAUUCACAAUUCAAAGUACAAUUUCUAGGAGUUCCCGUUGUGGCUCAGUGGUUAAUGAAUCCAAUGAGGAAUGAUGAGGUUGUGGGUUCGAUCCCUGGUCUUGCUCAGUGGGUUGGGGAUCUGGCGUUGCUGGGAGCUGCGGUGCAGGUUGCAGAUGCUGUGGCUGGGGCCUAGGCUGGCAGCUACAGCUCCGAUUAGACCCCUAGCCUGGGAACCUCCAUAGGCUGCAGGUGUGGCCCUANAAAAAAAAAAAAAAAAAAAAAAAAAAAAAAAAAAGGUACAAUUUCUACUGAAUGUGUAUCUCAUCAUAGCGAAGUCAAACUGUCUCAAAUCAAACCAUCGUGAGUUGGAACUGUCCGUGAGUGCUGUUGAUGUGGGCGUUUUCCUGCUUGGUCCAGCCAAGGAGAGGGGACUGUGAUGGGAACUACCCAGACACCUCUCUCUCUUUUCCUUUGGUACCAAGGGGAUGGACAGUCAAGCUGGGCAAUUCACCUUGGGAACUGGUGGUAGGGUGGGGAGUGCUCAGCGAAUGGGAACAUUGGGCAGUGGCCCCGGGCCAGCCUCUAAAGGCCCCAACCCCAGUUUAUAAGGAGCCAAGCCCUGGGCUGCAGUGACCCUGCCCCUAAUCAGAUCUCACUGCCCUGGACAAGUUUGGAUCUCAACAUCUUCAUCUGCAAAAUGGGGAUAAGAACCCUAGUGAGCGAGUCCAUAGAGGCCGUGGUUCCACACAGCGUGCCCUUUGUCCUUGAGGGACAUGCCUGCCUCCAGUGACCUGCGCAGUGACUCAGAACCCAGGGACUGCAGAAAACCACCUCCCAGUGUAGGAGCAGGGAGAGAAAGAGAACAUGUGUGUGACCGUUCUGGGCCACGGCAGGGCUGGCCCAGGCCAUCCUUGAAGCUGUCUCCAUACUAGAGUCAAGGCAGAGAGUGAGGCUCAGAAGACAGGCAAGAGGAGAGCCAGCCUGGCUGCCUCUGGAACCGGGGGUGAGGGGGUGGGUGGAAGCCCGCCUCCCCCUACCUCCCCUCUCUGCCUGGCAGACUCAGGCCACCCGGUCCCCAGCCAGAUGCUGGGUCAAGCAGUCCGGGGUGAAUGGGGAGAUGGGACACAGAGGCUGCAUUUUACUCUAACAAACCACUGCUGAGUGGCCUGCCUUGCCCCAGCACUGUGCCGGGUCCGGGGUGUACCUCAGCCAGGCUCCAGAGGGUGCCCAGCCAGGUUCGGGAUUCCUGGGCCCCUGAGUCUCCCCACAGGCACCUGCAUGCCAGGUUCUAAGUGGGGCUUUCCUGCCUCGGAUCUCCUGUAACUAACCCUGGGCUUCCCAUGUGGCCAGGGAGGGGCAGAGCACGUCCCCCGCCCUGGCGCUGUUUGCCACCCUCACCGCACACUUGGCAGGGCGCUGAGCCAGGCCCAGCUCUUUUAUCUGCCUGGCCUUUCUUCCUACGAGCCUGAUUUCUGAUGUGGUCCCAUCUUCAAGUGGCUCACAAGACAGUCAGGGAGCAGCGACCUGGGAAAAGGAUGGGCUCAGCUUUUAGAACGCCUCUCCUUGUUUUCCCUGCGUAGAAGGGAGCCGCUGAGGGUGCUCGAGCUGGUGAGGGGCACACUCCGAGCAGUGGGCAGGACCCAGGACGGGAUGGACAGGAGAGACUCGGGGGAAAGACCAGUUCCGUCACAGCAGGGCCUUGCGUCAUCGGCAGAGUCCCGAGCAGGCUUCUUUUUCCUGAGGGAGGCUGUUCAGAGGUGACAGAGGCCCUGUACAGUGGGAAUGAGGAAACUGGGAGGGUCCACCUGCUGCUGGCUGGCCCCUUGGGCCUUUGGAUGCUUGAGAGUCUGGGGAUGUGUGAUCUUCUUUCUAGACCAGUGGGGUAAGAAAACUGGCGAGAUUAGGGUUGCACUGAAAAAAGGUGCUACUCCCCCCUACCCCCCCCACACACACACCCCGCCUCCUCUACCAUGUGCUUCCACCCCACCCGGGCUACCAGGGGGGAUUGCCCCUCCCACCCAGCUCCUCAGAGAGACAGCAGACACUGGUGGCUGGGCACUCGCCCUCUAGGAUGGAGCUCCUUUUCCAGACGGCCUGUGUCCUGUGUGGGAUGGAUGGCCAUUCUCAUGUCAUCAUCUUCCAUACUGAAGCCCUCUUCCGGCCAGAGUUUUGGGGUCUGGGCUCCUGAUUGGGAAAGACGGAGGUGUCUCAUUGGGGUGGGUAUUCAGGAGCUCAGUUUGGGACUUGUUGGCUUUGCAUUGCUUAUGAGACCCUAAGUGGGGAUGACCAGAAAAACUGCAGAGAGGGGGGCGGGGUCUGUCGGUGACUGCCGGGAGUGCCCCUCCUAGUAGACAGCCUCUCUGUGUUGAAUGCCUCUACUGAUGGGGAGCUCAUCACUUCUAGAGACAACCUACUUGUUCUCCGACAGCUAACAUGAAGCCAAAAAUCUCUCACGGUCGAUUCACCUUGUUGGAGGAGAGGACGGGGCAGAAGGGGAAGGAGGGGAGGGCCUUUGCAGAGCUGCAAAGUUGACCACCCAAAGGUGGUUCCAGUAUUCGGAGAUAUUUGAUGCCCAGGAGUCUCUCUCCCUCUGAGUCAACCCCUCAUUUCCUAGUCAUGGUCUGCACUGCCCUACCACUCUGACCAGGGCAUAGCUGUGACUGUAACCAGGAUCUGGGGUCUCAGACCUGCACGGACUUACUUGAUGCCACGAGUAAGACGCGCUAAGGUCUGGGAUUUGUGGCUGGGUGUGGGGAGGGGCAGGGGGGUGGAUGAGGGUGGUGGGAAUCCACAGACCUCUCUCUCCUUAGCUCGUAGAUGAACAGUGACAUCCAAUUCUUCUUCUUCUUUUUUUCUUUCUUUCUUUUUUGAAUGAUGAGGUUGUGGGUUCGAUCCAUAUGGAGGUUCCCAGACUAGGAGUCAAAUCGGAGCUGUUGCUGCCAGCCUACACCACAGCCACAGCAACGCGACCUACACCACAGCUCACGGCAACGCUGGAUCCUUAGCCCACUGAGCGAGGCCAGGGAUCCACCCUGUGUCCUCAUGGAUGCUACCAGUCAGAUUCGUUUCCUCUGCGCCACGGCGGGAACUCGGCCAACAUCCAUUUCUUAAGCAAGAGGAAGAAAAGCAUCUGGAGCCAGUCUGCCCUGGCGGGUGGCACCAUGCCCUAGCUUGGCAUCCUUGACAAGUUGACUGUGCCUCAGUUUCCUCCUCGUAACACAGGAGUCCAUCACCCCUCCUUCCUGGGGUUACUGCGAGGGUACAAUGAGCUUGCGUGUGUCAAACGCUUACAGCAGCGCGUGGCACGUGCGUUGGGGCCCUAGACCCGAGCAGACAAGAGCUGCUGUGGUUGUUCAGCUUUUGCCUGGCACCGUCCCUCCAAUUUCUCGUUCUUUCUCGGUUCCUGUGGCCCUGCAGGUGUAGGGGGCCACCCACUUGAGGACAGCCCUGCCCACUCACGCCCAGGUAGACCGGCCAGGCUGCAUAGCUGGAGUUACUCAGCUCGGCACCCCCGGGGCUGGGAAGGGACCAGGAGAGGGCAGAGGCAGACGCUGGGGCCUGGGGACGCCUGGGUGGACUGCCCGGGCCUGCUUUCUUCCCUCUGCUCAGGCCUGGCCCUGUGGGGGUGUGUCUCUCACCCACCCCCGCACUCAGGGAGGGGGCAUAUUGGGGGCCUUGGAACAUAGGAUCACCCAGACUUUAAAGUUAAGCUUUUUGGAGGUCACAGGCCACCAAAGUGACUGAGGGCAACCUUUGGAUCCUAAAUCUGGCUGGGAGGAGGGGGUGGGAUCCGAGCCGGGGGGGCUUAUCUCUUGGGCUGAGACCUGUGGUCCACGAUCCCCAGGAAAUCCAUGAGCAGAGCUGUGUUCCAAUGUUAUUAAUUCUUUUUGUAGCCCCAGGGAGUUAAAUAAUUUUAUCCCCCUACCCAACUUUAUUGAGAUAUAAGUGGCAAACGAGUCCCAUGUAUUAUUUUUUUAAUUGAAAUAUAAUUGAUAUGUAACAUUGUGUUAGUCUCAGGUGUACGGCAUAAUGAUUUGAUAUCUGUGUAUAUUAUGGACUGAUCACCGCAGUAAGUCUGGCUAACAUCUGUCAGGAUACACAGCUACAAUUUUUUUUCUUGUGUAUUUUUAUCUUGUGCGUUGAAGAGGGAAUAAGCCACAGGUUUACCAGACUGCACAAGGGGUCUGCCUACAAGCUAAUAAAUAGCCCUGAUCUCCUGCCCCUCCCUCAGCCAUGCAGGGCCAAGUCCUCCAGAUGGACCCCAGGCUUGCCAGGGUGGGCCCAGAGACCCCGGCCCUGGGCCAGUUUUCAGACACCCGCCUAAUUCAAAUCACCAGUGAGUCCAGCCUGUGUUUGAGGGUCCCUGGGAGCAGCCUGUGAAGGUGAGGAAGUGAGUGUGUGGGGGGUCCUGCUAUCCACUGGGCUCAGGUCAUAAUCCCCUCCUAGCAGCCUGUCUGGGGAACUAAAUGACAUCGUGGAGAUCAAGCCCCCGGCCCGGGAGGCAAUGGUCUCUGGGGAGGGGGGGGGGAGCCCGAGCCACCGAGCCCUCAGAAAGCACAGACAUAGGGUGAGCCCCCACCCAACCCCGGCCCUUUCUGUCCUGUCUCAGGGCCCAGGAGUUCAAGUCCACUCUAACCUUCUCUAAAGCAGCUCAAGUCAUGAGAAGAGGGCGUAGCGGGGUGGGCUAUGCUGCCCUUAAAGCAGCUACCAGCCCUGAAGACUCGCCUUAUUUGGCCUGGAUGAAAACUCUACUUGCUCCGUAUGGCUCAUCUCAAGCAGGCAUGGGGAGAAGCAAAUCGGUUUUGCUCACCUUUAUUGAGGGGCAAGUGGCUGAUAGCUUGGAACCUUCCGGAGCUAUAGGUGGUUUAAAAGAGGAUGCCUAGGAGUUCCCCUGUGGCUCAGCAGUUUAAGGAUCUGGCGUUGUCCCUGAUGUGGUGUGUGUUCAAUCCCUGGCCCAGGAACUUCUGAAUGCUGUGGGUGUGGCCAAAAAAACCUACAUAGGAGUUCCCACUGUGGCUCAGCAGGUUAAGAACCCGACUAGUAUCCAGGAGGAUGCAGGUUCCAUCCCUGGCCUCGCUCAGUGGAUUAAAGAUCUGGCCUUGCUGCAAGCCAUGGUGUAGGCUGGCAGUUGCAGCUCCCAUUAGACCCCUAGCCUGGGAACCUCCACAUGCUGCGAGUUUGGCCCUAAAAGGACAAAAAAACUCUCACAAAAAUAAAAUAGGAUGUCUGUUGGAGUUCCCAGUGGGUUAAGAAUCCAACUACAGUGGCUUGGGUCACUGUGGAGGUGUGGGUUUGAUCCCCAGCGCAAGCGUGGUGGGUUAAAGGAUCCAGUGUUGCCACAGCUGCGGCGUAGGUUGCAACUGAAGCUCAGAUUCAAUCCUUGGCUGGGGAACUUCCUUAUGUCUCAUGUGCGGCCAUAAAGAAAAAAAAAGUGGGAGUUCCCUUUGUGGCUCAGUGGUUAUUGAACCCGACUAGGAUCCAUGAGGAUGCGGGUUUGAUCCCUGGCCUCACUCAGUGGGUUAAGGAUCCAGCAUUGCCAUGAGCUGUGGUGUAGGUCGCAGGUGUGGCUUGGAUCUGGUGUUGUUGCUGUGGUGUAGGCUGGCAGCUGUAGUUCUGAUUGGACCCCUAGCCUGGGAACUUCCACAUGCCACAGGUGCGGCUCUUAAAAAAAAAAAAAAAAAAAAAAA
This 6096-nucleotide long non-coding RNA is filed under the name Sus scrofa (pig). RNAcentral describes it as "lncRNA (ENSSSCG00035080227.1)". The record is from RNAcentral. Lineage: Eukaryota; Metazoa; Chordata; Mammalia; Artiodactyla; Suidae.